This 253-nucleotide ribosomal RNA is filed under the name uncultured bacterium. RNAcentral's name for it is "partial 16S ribosomal RNA". It matches the Rfam family "Bacterial small subunit ribosomal RNA", at positions 524 to 776 of the family's 1533-position model. The record is from RNAcentral.
UACGGAGGGUGCGAGCGUUGUCCGGAUUUAUUGGGUUUAAAGGGUGCGUAGGCGGCUCUCUAAGUCCGAGGUGAAAGCCCGUUGCUUAACAACGGAACUGCCUUGGAUACUGGGGAGCUUGAGUACAGACGAGGUUGGAGGAAUGGACCGAGUAGCGGUGAAAUGCAUAGAUACGGUCCAGAACCCCGAUUGCGAAGGCAGCUGACUAGGCUGUUACUGACGCUGAGGCACGACAGCGUGGGGAGAGAACAGG